Molecule: ribosomal RNA, 483 nt
Filed under: uncultured bacterium
Lineage: Bacteria
Description: partial 16S ribosomal RNA
Rfam family: Bacterial small subunit ribosomal RNA
Source: RNAcentral
GACGAACGCUGGCGGCGUGCUUAACACAUGCAAGUCGAACGCUGAAGCUCAGCUUUUGUUGGGUGGAUGAGUGGCGAACGGGUGAGUAACACGUGAGUAACCUGCCUCCUUCUUUGGGAUAACGCCCGGAAACGGGUGCUAAUACUGGAUAUUCACUGGUCUUCGCAUGGGGGUUGGUGGAAAGGGUUUUUCUGGUGGGGGAUGGGCUCGCGGCCUAUCAGCUUGUUGGUGGGGUGAUGGCCUACCAAGGCUUUGACGGGUAGCCGGCCUGAGAGGGUGACCGGUCACAUUGGGACGGAGAUACGGCCCAGACUCCUACGGGAGGCAGCAGUGGGGAAGAUUGCACAAUGGGCGCAAGCCUGAUGCAGCGACGCCGCGUGAGGGAUGGAGGCCUUCGGGUUGUGAACCUCUUUCGCUCAUGGUCUAGCCGCAACAAUGGUUGUGGUGAGGGUAGUGGGUAAAGAAGCGCCGGCUAACUACGUG